AGCGAACGCUGGCGGCAGGCCUAAUACAUGCAAGUCGAGCGCACCUUCGGGUGAGCGGCGGACGGGUGAGUAACGCGUGGGAAUGUGCCCUUUGGUACGGAACAACUGAGGGAAACUUCAGCUAAUACCGUAUGUGCCCUUCGGGGGAAAGAUUUAUCGCCAUUGGAGCAGCCCGCGUUGGAUUAGGUAGUUGGUGAGGUAAAGGCUCACCAAGCCUACGAUCCAUAGCUGGCUGAGAGGAUGAUCAGCCACACUGGGACUGAGACACGGCCCAGACUCCUACGGGAGGCAGCAGUAGGGAAUCUUGCGCAAUGGGCGAAAGCCUGACGCAGCCAUGCCGCGUGAAUGAUGAAGUCUUAGGAUUGUAAAAUUCUUUCACGGGGAAGAUAAUGACGGUACCCGGAGAAGAAGCCCCGCUAACUUCGUGCCAGCAGCCGCAAGU
RNAcentral lists this ribosomal RNA (442 nucleotides) under uncultured bacterium. RNAcentral describes it as "bacterial SSU rRNA". It matches the Rfam family "Bacterial small subunit ribosomal RNA", at positions 29 to 522 of the family's 1533-position model. The record is from RNAcentral.